CUUUUAGGAGACACACUUCCUAAUUCAAACCUUUACUCCUUGGAGACGCAUUUCCAAGUUAGAGUCCUUCAGUUUAUCCCCUAAGAGACGCACUGUUUAGUAUGAGUCUUUCAGGUUUUGCUUUUAGGAGACGCACUUCCUAAUUUAAACCAUAACACCUAGGAGACGCACUUCUUAAUCAGAAUAUUUCGGUUUAACCCUUAAGAGAAGCACUUCUUAGUCUGGGUUUUUCACGUUUAGCGUUUAGGAGACGCACUUCCUAAUUUGAUUCAUUAUUCCUAGGAGACAUACUUCCUAGUAUGAGUUUUCAGAUUCACCCCUGGGAGACGCACUUCCUAGUUAGUACAUUUGAUUUUACUUUCAUCUUUGAAUUACAUUACAUAUAGUUUAUGAUUUUGCUAGCACUCACAAAAAUUUUCUAGUGCAAACUGGGACAGAAAAAUUUCGUUUGUGUUGUUUGUCUUUGAUGAUUUACAGGACCCACCUGAAAAAUGGGAAAGCAAGUCAGGACCCGCCUAAAGAAUAGGAAGAAAGUCAAGACCCGCCUGAAGAAUGGGAAGCAAAUUAGGACCCUUCUGAAGAAUGGGAAACAAGUCAGGACCCGCCUGAAAAAUGGGAUAUCUUUCAAUUUCAAGUUCAAGAGCCAGCCUGGAAGUAGGGAUGACUUUCAAUUUUAAGUUCAGAAACCAGCAUGAAGAACCAAGUCAAGAUUCAUGAAAAUCUGCAUAGAUAGGAUCUUGUACUUGUAUUUUCUUUUUUUGUAAUAACAGGAGUCGUGGAUCGGAACCUCGACAGGACCUCACUCAACUCUCCAACUCAGUAUGUCUCGUCACCCUUCUUACCUCUUGAACUACACGAGAUCUGAUUCUCUUAUAACCCGAGAUAUAUAGGAUGUCUAAGACCAAGGCUCGAUCACAUUUCUGUUCCGUUCCUUUCUCUUCCUCCAAAUAAUGGUCGGGUCCAAAUUUAUCUCGUCGUCUACGUCUUUGUCUGAGAACUCUUCACGUUCCCAAACAAAGAGGGCCAGGCUGUAGACACAUAAUUUUUUACCCUCCCUGAGUUGUUUUACACCACUAUUAACAUUAAAUUUUUCUUUUAAGUCUAAUCUUGCUAUCUUGAGUAUUAUCUCAUUUUUAAUUGUUUUUUACUUGUGAAAACUGAAAACUAAAAAAAAUAGAGUUGUAUUUAAGACGGAAAAAUGUUUCCCUUUUUAAAUUUUGAGUAAAUAAGUGAGUAUUUUCUUAAGGCUAAAAUUAGGUGAUUAGUAAGUAUAUUUUGAUUUUGAUUUUUUUUUUUUAAAAGAGAACCAAUGAGUUUUUGCCAUGUGGAAAUUCCAAGAUGCCUACUUAUCUUUUGCAACAACUUGCACAUGGCUUUUCACGCACAUCAAUAACAAUUUGUUUUGGCACAAAUAGAGUAUAUUCUGGUGGGACCCAUUUAAAAAGAUUUUUUUCACCUUGGCAUUUUCUGGGUACUACUCCAUAGAUAUAGGAGAUAUACAUAUACACACUCACAAAAAAAUAGAUAGAGAGGGAUGGACAAAUCAGAAAACGAAAAAAAAAAUCAUCUUCUUCAUAUUUUUUGCUCACCUGUAACCAACACCAGCACCGCAUCAUCUCCCGCCAUUAAACCACCACCCCCACUGAUCUUUUUCAACCACGUGCCAACCCAUCGUCGCCACCCACCAAAAAAUAAAUGACCACCGUGAGCCACCAUCCUCAAAUCCAUUUCUCCAUCUGAGACCGCCGUUCGCCACCCUCAUCUGCACCUCUCACCUCCACCAGCCCAAUCAUACCAUUAAACCAUCAUGAAACACCCACCAGAAACCGUUGUAUUCCACAAUCGUACCCCACCCCUAUUUUCUACAAAACACCAAUAUAACCACCAAACACCAUUAAAGUUCUGGGUGUUACGGUUUAAAACAAAAGAAGUCAAUUCAGUGAUGAGUUUUUGUCGGGUUUUUGGUUUACGUCAAGGUCUUCGAUUGGCAGCUCCGUCAGUCGGGUUUGUUUCCGAUCUUGAGUCAAUUUUUGGGUCCAGCUUUUGGCUAUGGAUUGAUUGUUGAAGUUCAUUUUUCGAUUGGCAAAUGCCAAAAUAUUGAAGGCAUCUACUACUGUAAAGUGUCACAUGAACUAGACGGAGGGAGCAGUAAUAAUUAGCUAAACAAUUGGUACAAAGUCCAUUUAACUCAAGCUUAACCGAAAUUAUUGCAGGAAUGCCGUAUUAUUAGCAGACCAGCAUAGCAAUUUAACCCAGCCGACUAACAGAUCCAUAAAUUUAAAAGAACAAUGGAAAUUGUUGUCUAUCUCCACGGUAUUGCUAAUAAGGUUGAUUUGUGGUUUUGCAUCGAAGUGCCGGUAUUGACAAAGGAUGAUAUUCAUCACAAAUUGACAUACAAAAAGAUUUCUCCCGUUGCGAAGCUACUUCGACGUGCUUAUGGAUGGGCAGGAGAAUGGGACGUUACUGGUAACAACAUCUAUUAUGCUGGUGGAUACGCGACUGAUCGAGGGAAGAUUAUCCCUUAUAUGGAAUUGAUUAAACAUAACAUAAUGACACAAGAUAAUGCUGUUGAUUCUUGGGAGAGAGUAAUCUUCCUCGUAGAUCACUUGUUGUCGUGGCUGUUGGUAGAAAAAAACUAUGUAUUGUGGGGGGCGAGCACCGGUCACCUGAUGAUUAUAAAAAAGGCUAAGUGUUGAGGAUGAUGAGCGAUCUGAUCUUCUGCGGAGCAAAGGUGGUGAAGUUUACGAUAUCCAAGAAAAAACCUGGAAAUAACUGGAUGCUGAUUCAAAAUAUUUUAGUCGUUAUAGUAGUUUUAAUCAAGUUGCUGUUGUUGUGGAAAAACAUGGGGAUGAGACGACACAAAUUGUGUUUUAUUGCUUGAGAGAGGCUUCUAUGCUGUUUUUAAAUCGAUGCAACUAAUGGUAUUAUAUUGAAGUAUUUUAAAUCCGAGGAGUUUGCUUUGUGGGAACAUUAUUUGGAUCCUUCUCCACCACCAGGUAUAAGGGAUGUUAUAAACUUAAAUAUACUACCUAGGGUUAUGUUGAAUGUACGAGCAGUGUUCACUAACGAUACAUCCUAUUGGUUCACCUACGACAUGUACUUGUAGUCUUGUAUGCAUAUGAUGUUAUAUCACUA
This is a long non-coding RNA of Lycium ferocissimum, 3135 nucleotides long. RefSeq lists it as uncharacterized. NCBI's taxonomy places the organism in Eukaryota, Viridiplantae, Streptophyta, Magnoliopsida, Solanales, Solanaceae. The transcript has 2 exons. The record is from RefSeq and is a predicted model, not a curated record.